Molecule: non-coding RNA, 641 nt
Organism: Mus caroli (Ryukyu mouse)
Lineage: Eukaryota; Metazoa; Chordata; Mammalia; Rodentia; Muridae
Source: RefSeq, a predicted model, not a curated record
GAGUGCGGGUGCUGAGGACAGCGACGAUCCGGAGGCGAGACCCAACGGCGAGAGGGGGGAGAGCAAGUAUUCCAGUGACAGAAUCCACUCAAGAGAGUUGGGGCCAAGGCUAUCAAGGAGCUGAGUUCUGAGUUCAGGUGCCCACGUGGCAGAGGAAUGACGCCUCCUGGCCCUUCAGACCUUUGAGACGGCCGGGAGGCCCUAGAAAUCACCUCAAGUCUCCAGUCCAGGACACAGCUGCCUAGGGGAGCCCCAGGGAAAGGCGGCAGAGAUUGCAUGGCCCGUGACGGACUCCAGCGCAACCUCUGCGGAAUCUACCCGAUUCCAAACCACUGGCACUUCCGGUGCGCAAAGCCCCUUGCGGAGAGGACGCAAGAGAAGCCAGCUGGGAAGAGGCCCAUCGCUUGGCUGCAAAGCAGAUGGACCACCUCCUCAGGGCUCCUGGAAACUGCUGAAGCACGAUGAGGGAGGUGACAUCACUCGCAAGAAGGAAUCAAGCAAUUACAGUGGACUUGAGACUGCAUCCUUCAGACUGAAGUCCUGAGGCCCAGUUCUGAGUUAGACUGUCUUUCUCUGUCCUCUCUCUCUCUCUCUCUCUCUCUCUCUCUCUCUCUCUCUCUCUCUCUCUCUCUUAUUUUUCU